UACAGAGGUCCCAAGCGUUGUUCGGAUUUACUGGGCGUAAAGGGUGCGUAGGAGGUUGGCAAAGUCGGGUGUGAAAUCUCACCGCUUAACGGUGAAAUUGCGCUCGAUACUGGUUGACUAGAGUAUCGGAGGGGAAAGCGGAAUUCCUGGUGUAGCGGUGAAAUGCGUAGAUAUCAGGAGGAACACCGGUGGCGAAGGCGGGUCUCUGGGCCGAUACUGACGCUGAGGAGCGAAAGCGUGGGGAGCGAACAGG
Molecule: ribosomal RNA, 253 nt
Filed under: uncultured bacterium
Lineage: Bacteria
Description: partial 16S ribosomal RNA
Rfam family: Bacterial small subunit ribosomal RNA
Source: RNAcentral